Molecule: long non-coding RNA, 257 nt
Filed under: Eutrema salsugineum
Lineage: Eukaryota; Viridiplantae; Streptophyta; Magnoliopsida; Brassicales; Brassicaceae
Description: long non-coding RNA (ESAL_LNC000086)
Source: RNAcentral
AGCAUCACACGAGGGAGGAAAAAAUCCAAGAAAAGAAUCAGAUCUACUAGUCCAAUAAGAUAAAAACAUUAAAAAAUAUAAACAAAAUAUUGGAGAUUCGAGUUUUUGUGGUGCUAUCGGUGCCAAAUGGAAGAGGAGAUGAAGAGGGUGGAGGAGGCAAUGGAGAGUGUGGUGAUGGUGUUGGUAAGAUGAGGAGUGGUUGGUGGUGGAAAAAGUUAAGGAAGAGAAAGAAGAGGUUAAAAUCGGUUUGGUUUUAG